AAAGAAGAGCCUUUUUUGAGAAUUUGACUUUGGUACAUGUUUUGCUCUACAAAUUGAUAAACCAAGAGACAGUACAGAUGAUCAUUUCUCAUGCUUAAUCACAAGCACACGUUUGUUCUAUGGGAAGCUGGAAACAUAAAAUGGAAAUUGGACUUACGAUGAGGAAGUAGAUGUACUAAAAAGCAUAUGAAAGAUGAACUGAAAAAGUUGAAGCUCCAUAUCCUCAUGACGAACUGGACCAUACUGGAGUUGUGAAUGGUGGUGAAGCUUCACAUCCUUCAUCGUCAACGAGCUCCUGCCAUGAGCGAAAAUCACAAACUUCAAACAAUUUAUAAAGAAUACAGUUCUUGAAAUUGGGUCGAGCUUAAACUGUUCAGAUUUUUGAACUCCUGCAGCAGCUAUACUUGAACUUGCGCGACACAUUUUUGAAAGCAUCUGAUGUUCAGAAUAUGUUAUAUGAAAAGAGGAAGGGGUAACACACUAAGAGACAUAGGCAAAAGAGAGAAAAUCAUGAUGUAUUAGCUAGGUGGUUGAACUGGCCACACCGCUGCACCAUGUCGCCCAGCUCCUUCUCAAUGGUCUGCUUCUUGUGAUCGCCGACGAGCACCCUGGGCUUCACCAUGAACCUGGUUAAAAGAUAUAUGGGACUGGAACCUGUAGAUUUAAAUGAACUCUCACUAGAAGUAAUUUUUGUACUUCCCAUGUAGUACUACUUGUACUUGUUGUAAAAUACAUGGACCAUGUAAUAAUUUUGAAGUUAAUUAUAUGAUCAUCUCAUGUGGCUCAAGUUGGACUGGAACUCACUCGAUAACUAAACAACUAGGGUGAGGGGUGGGAUCCAGGGUGUUGCUGGCAAUGAAUGGCCAGGGGAGGUGGCAUUGAACGGCCUAGAGUGGUGGCUGUGAACGGCCAGGGUGCUCCGGCAGCAGAGCCCCACCGGGAGAUGGCGAUGCAAUUAAACUGCUGUGCAAUCAAAAUUACAGUUGUAAGCUAGCAAGGAUAUUGUAGUUUUUUGUUUUGCACUAUGGUCAUGGAGUCAAAUCAGAUCAAACAUGCGAGGCAUAUAAAAUUUGUUGUUUGAUGUUACCAUGAGCAGUGGUUACAUAGUAAAUUCAAAGAACAACAAAACAUGGCAGCAACAUCGUAGAAUUCAUUUGGAAGCAACCGCUAUAUAUACGUGAUUCCAAAAAUGUUCCCCAACCUGUACUGAGCAGCUUCAGAGCCUGUACUGACAAUGAACUGAUUUGUUAUGUUUUAGCACAUAGAUUGUACUGUUCAUUACGGACUAUUGAUAUAAAUACAUAUUGAACUUCUACACUAAAAGAAAAAUCACUAAUAAAUAACACUUCUCUUGAGCAAUCAAAUAAGUUUCACUAAAAGAAAAUUCACUAAGAAAAUGGCUAUAUCUCUGAUGCAAACUUAAUUUGAGCAGAAAUGUUCAUCUUUUGACACAUCGAAACCACUAGCUACAGUUUUUUGCUUCCAAUCAUUGAACUGAGAAUAAUUAUGAGAAUUUUUUGCUCCCAACCUCCUGCAUAUAUAUUCUCGAACUGAUUUUUUGUCACUUGAACAGAGCAAAGAAAGCAGUAAUUAAGGAAUUCUUAGCCAGACUAGGCACCCCACAAAUCCCACACAACAAAGCAUGUUAUAUGUAUUUCUGCUGCCUAAAUGUGUAUAUAAUUUCAAAUUUUCCAAGCACAUACCUUCUGUUCUUGUUUGUUGAUGGGCAUGCCGCCCCUACUUCUAUGGACUGACGGUGCUGACAAAGUGGACCUUAAGGAGCGAGGAUCACGAGCAACCUAUGGGAUGAAACUCACAGCGAAUGGUUCGACACCAACGAUAUCUAUGGAAGGGCAAUGACAGUCAACAUCUUAUAGCCCCCUAUUUUGAUAAAAUAGCUGAACUUAUUAGCAAUAAAAUAGUUGAACUUAUAUGAAUUGAUGGAGUAAACAGUAAGACAAAUUUGGAUUUCCCGUACUCCAUCAAUUGAUUGAAAACAGAGUAGGUUCAUUUUAGCAAGGCAAGAUUCGGAAACUAAAUCAAUCAAAGCACACAGAUGUAAUCCUCAACAGCCAUCAUCAAACUAAACUUGAUUUGCAAUUUCUUCAGAAAUUAGAACAAAUAGAGGACCACCGAGUGAUGAGCAAAGAGCCUCCUUACAGUGAAGAAAUAGGGGUUGACGGGGAUGGCGGUGGACAUCCAGAACUAGAGGAUCCUGAAGGACUCAAAUUUUAUUGUUAGUUCAUUAUAGUAAUCCUAAUUAGUUGGUCUUUUUAGUACUCUACAAGGUUCCACAUAUGUAGUAAUUAUAGCGAUGUAUUUGUACUGCCCCAAAAAAAACCUGAAACAUCAUAAGAACAUAAAAAAGAAUGUUUAUUAGUUCACAAACCUAUCAACAAUAGUAGUCUUGCUACUCCAGUG
This 2421-nucleotide long non-coding RNA is filed under the name Triticum aestivum (bread wheat). Its description in RNAcentral is "long non-coding RNA (TAES_LNC002995)". The record is from RNAcentral. Lineage: Eukaryota; Viridiplantae; Streptophyta; Magnoliopsida; Poales; Poaceae.